UUUUUUUCUCUCUGCUUCCGUUGACUUUGUGGCGGGUCAGAGCGGCUUCUAAGGAGCUCACAAGAGAUGAGGAACGGCCCAUGAGUCUAACGUCGGGAAGCAGAUUGCCUGCCUGGUUUAGAAGAGGAAGGAGCUUCUGGAUCCUUGGAUGCUAUCGAUCUUUCGAUACUAAUUAAGGAAAAUAUUAGCCUACUUUUGGGGCAGGAAGCACUCCUUUUGGCAUCUUCUGACGACGACGACGCUGAGUUUUUAGUCAACCAUUGAAAAAUAUAUGGAGCAGUAAGUAGAACAGGUCUCCAUCCAUCACUGACUAAGGGACAGAGGGAAUUUGAAGGAUGUUAUAGAGUUAGUGUACAAAGCCCUCUCUCUCUCUCNNNNNNNNNNNNNNNNNNNNAGUAGUAGUAGUAGUAGUAGUAGUAGUAGUACGUACUACUACUCUCUCUCUCUCUCUCUCUCUCUCUCUCUCUCUCUCUCUCUCUCUCUCUCUCUCGCUCUCUCUCUCUCUCUAUCAAUAAACUUCUGGUGUCUUCACCUGAAUAAACUGUCUAGCGGAUAUUUUGCUCAAAAUUAGUCAACCCAUACGAUCCAAACAUAUGUAGUGUAGCCCAAGUAGAUAAUCGACCUAAAAUAAUGGUACAAGGGAUUCGGCAUUGCAAAUGCAAUGAAGAAAAUAAAGAAUAUUACCAUGACAGGUAAUAUAAUACGAAUUUACUUACCCAGAAUAUAGCAUUUAGGACAGGACAAAGUCAACUGCCAGAAUAUUGAGACGACACAAUGUGGUUCACAGUUUAUGAAACAAAUGUCAAAGAACAUGCUUUAUUCAUGCUUAAACCACCUGAGAAACUAAGGAAGUCUGAUACAAUUGGAAGGAAUAUUCAAGCAAAGGCAGCAUAUUCAUGCUCCCAUCGGUGAAAAUUUUGAAUCGAACAGAUUAUUUUUCUUGGUAACUAAAAUUAAAUCGCAUCGUCAAGAUCAUUUAUGAGCUAUCUGCCUGUUACAUACCCAUAUUCAUCCUUUCAGUGAAUACUCCGCCCAAACUGCAAGAUCAACCUUCAGGAAAAUAAGAACAUUUCUCAACGUGGAUAUAAGUGGGAUAUGUAGCAGACCUCUGCAUUGUUGAGCGCCAUUC
Molecule: long non-coding RNA, 1129 nt
Filed under: Spirodela polyrhiza (greater duckweed)
Lineage: Eukaryota; Viridiplantae; Streptophyta; Magnoliopsida; Alismatales; Araceae
Description: long non-coding RNA (SPOL_LNC001753)
Source: RNAcentral